UUAUUUAAUAUGGCCGAAUACAUUAUUUAAUGUGGCCCAAUACAUUAUUUAAUGUGGCUCAAUAGAUUAUUUCAGAGGCCCAACACAUUAUUUCAAGUUGCCCAACACAUUAUUUCCAGCGGCCCAACACAUUAUUUAAAGUUGCCCAACACAUUAUUUCCCGCGGCCCAACACAUUAUUUCACGUGGCCCAACACCCAAGUGCAUUAAUUGCAGGCCGCUCCAUCAGGAGUAGUGUCACCUUCCAAGGAAAGCGUGUCAGACAAAGAGAGGCGGAGCAAGUGUGGCCCUCAGGCAGGCCGCCAACGCUAUCAGGUGGCCUGGACCUGCGCAGAUGGGGUUAAAUCCACGAGGCGGAACACGGCAAAGACAGAUGGCGUAGGACAGGUUGGAGAGAAGACGGUCCAGAGGGUGUCAAGUUACCAACUGCUCCAGGUCCGUGGCACAAAAGUUCUGCCGCCUUCCGUUUGGAAGCUUGAGGCCACGUCACCGCCAGCCAAAGAAAAUCAAAGGACGAAGCGUUUAAUUAGCGCACAAGCAAGCGCCAAACUGACAGAGACUAGCAUGACCUAAUUCCAACACUAUUUUUAGUCGCCGUUGUUGGCUAAUUUGUCCCAGCUUGCUGAGAAAACUGCAACACAACACGUGCUCCCCCAAUAAUACGUGUCAACUACACUCAUUAAUACACAAAUUAUUAGAAAUGCCAUGCCACUUUUUGCACACAACCCUGGAAAUACCUUGGAAAUAAGAAUGCAAGAUAUAUAAAACAUGUUUUUUUUUUUUUAAUUGUAUUCAUUUUGGGAACUGUUGUUAAAAAUAAAAUAAGAAAUGUAACAAUAGCAACAAUGAUCUAAUAAAUAAUCUUUCUUUUA
Molecule: long non-coding RNA, 871 nt
Organism: Nerophis ophidion (straightnose pipefish)
Lineage: Eukaryota; Metazoa; Chordata; Actinopteri; Syngnathiformes; Syngnathidae
Exons: 2
Source: RefSeq, a predicted model, not a curated record